UACGUAGGGGGCAAGCGUUGUCCGGAAUCAUUGGGCGUAAAGAGCGUGUAGGCGGCCCGAUAAGUCCGCUGUGAAAGUCCAGGGCUCAACCCUGGAAUGCCGGUGGAUACUGUCGGGCUCGAAUCCGGAAGAGGUGAGUGGAAUUCCUGGUGUAGCGGUGAAAUGCGCAGAUAUCAGGAGGAACACCAAUGGCGAAGGCAGCUCACUGGCCCGUAACUGACGCUGAGGUGCGAAAGCGUGGGGAGCAAACAGG
Molecule: ribosomal RNA, 253 nt
Filed under: uncultured bacterium
Lineage: Bacteria
Description: partial 16S ribosomal RNA
Rfam family: Bacterial small subunit ribosomal RNA
Source: RNAcentral